Molecule: long non-coding RNA, 1048 nt
Filed under: Anas platyrhynchos platyrhynchos (common mallard)
Lineage: Eukaryota; Metazoa; Chordata; Aves; Anseriformes; Anatidae
Description: lncRNA (ENSAPLG00000021227.1)
Source: RNAcentral
CUUCAGAUCAGAAGAGUUUAAUCAGGUAAUUGUCUGCAGGAAGGAAGAAACCAAAAGACAAAAUCCACAUAAGAAAUUUUCUUUAGGGGGAAAACUAAUUUUGCAAAAUAUAUGAGCAAUAUAAAGUGGAGGGCAAAGAGGUGGAUUCCUCUGCCACAUGAAAUAAAACAUAUUUUUUACUGAUUAAAAUGUUUACUUGAAAAAGGGUUCAGAGGGUACCUGAUUUUGCUCUCUUCAUUUUUCUUCUAGUUAAAGGAGCAAUACACGUAUGGAUAUUGAUGAAAAAAAUGUGGUUCCCCACAGACAUCUUUCUGCAUGUAUGAUAUCCUAGAAGGGAGGAAACAGCUUGAGCCUGAAGGUCUCUAGUUUUUGACUACAAGGCAUAAAGACUGCUGUUGUGUUCUGCUUUUUAGAGAUGCUGAGCAGCCAUAAAUAUGGAUGAAGUCAAGGGAGCCAUAGCUUUCAGCAACAAAGGUAUAUACCGCAUCAGGAUGAGGAGGGAUUUUGGACCAUACCUUCUGGCAGGGUGGCAUCCCAGGUCUAAAUUGAGGAUGAGCAGAUACUGAAAUGCCCAACUCAUUGUACUUGGGUGAAAAAGGAUACCAUGGAAGUGUCAAAAGGUAUGGCAUUUUGACAAGUCCUGAAAGGACAACUGAAUGCCAGCAUCUGUCCUUCAAACAACAGAAUUUCAAAGACAGGAGAGGGAAGAAGAUAGCAGUGAGUAUCGUUUGGUGGAACAUUCCCAAUCAUUUUUUUUUUUUUUUUUUUUUUUUUGCAAAUAGUUGUUCAAAUGAAUGAGCUGUAAUUAACUAUUCACAUCUUUUUUUGUGUUUGCUUUCCACAAAUAAUCCAGUAUAUCAGUUUAUUGGCAAGAAUGAUCAAUGCUGCAAUGACUUUGCAUUUAUAAUUAUUAUUAUUACUAGCAGGCAGAUUCUGAGAGAUAUCCUCAACCAAUUAGAAAACAAACAUGUGACUGAUAUGUCCAAUCAGAUUCCCUUUUGAAUGCCAAAUAUCAGAUACACUGGUUAAACUGCCUUCCAAUAACGUG